Molecule: long non-coding RNA, 1268 nt
Filed under: Cricetulus griseus (Chinese hamster)
Lineage: Eukaryota; Metazoa; Chordata; Mammalia; Rodentia; Cricetidae
Description: lncRNA (ENSCGRG00015042992.1)
Source: RNAcentral
GUUAGUGCCUUCAUUCCCAGAUCACUCACAUUGCCCAACUCCUUGUCACAGCAGACAGACUUGAUGUUCGGACAAGAGAUGGGGCUUGCCUAUGGCUCUCUCAGCUGGAAGCUUAACCAACACCUGCAGCUCCAGGUUAUCCUGGACUUAAAAGUUCUCCCCUUCAGUCUCCUGGGGACUCUUUGGGCAACUUAGAAACCUCACCUGCCUCACAAAUGUUGGUACAUCCCCAGUGGACACUGAUCAGCACUGUCCUUGGAACACUGAACCAGAAUGCCAAACUGUACAGCCAUCAGUCCACAAAUCUGAAUAGCUGUAUACAUAAUCUGGGAGAGAGGUUGUCAUCACAUAAAUGGCAAAGGGCAAGAAGAUCGGAGGAAUUCAUUCAUACAGACUGGAUUUGAGCCCUGAACAUACCUGGGAAAGCACCUGGACCUCUUAGAACCUGGAGAUCAACAAGUUGACAUACCUCAAAAGGUUAUGCUGUGAGCACUGAGUGUUAUGUCAUCAGAUUUGAUCAGUAAUGUGGAUUGCUAUCAGUAGCUGACUCUUUCUUGUGGAAUCCUCACCCCUGCCAUCCAUGACCAUCCGUUCAUACAGAAGGAAACUGAACCCAAAGAAAGUGGAAGACCACUUGAGAUGAGACGUGGGUCUUGGAUUCAAACCUAACUUGACCUGACACUGGGAGCAGAGUUUUCAGCCACUAGCCUGCCCCCUGACCCCAGUGAGAAGCAAGAGAAGGCCUGGCCAGAGAUGGCUAUAAUAGACAACCUGCAGGUAUUCAGAGGAGAGUUAGACCUCCUGCAUUGAAUAGAGCUGAGGGUACUUUCUAGGGGAGACAACACUUGUGAUGAAGCCUGGCUUGAUGGCACAUGUCUAUAAUCCCAGCACUUCCAAGAGUAGAGGCAGGAGGAUCAGGGGUUCAAGGUCAGCCUUGGCUAUGUAGGGAGUUUGAGGCCACCCUUGGUUACAUGAGCUAGUACCUCAGAAAUAAAAACAAAACACAAAGCACAAAAUUGUAGUGAACCUUGAAAAAUGGACAGAAUAAAUCAGGUAGGAAUCAAGAAAGGAUGUGUGGCACUGGGGCAAGGAUGUUGGCUAUGGUCUGUUGGGUGUGGGGCGCCCAGAUCAGCACUGAGGAGACAAGGCAGGAGAAACAGGUCAUGUUCAGACUCACACAGACCAAUGUCAACAUGGGCAUUUGUUGAGCUAUUUCAUUCUUAUGCCAAACUAGGGCCAGUCUUGGACUUCCAACUGAAGUUGUUAUC